This 497-nucleotide ribosomal RNA is filed under the name uncultured bacterium. RNAcentral describes it as "partial 16S ribosomal RNA". It matches the Rfam family "Bacterial small subunit ribosomal RNA", at positions 38 to 507 of the family's 1533-position model. The record is from RNAcentral.
GGGGGGGGGGGGGGGGGGGGGGGGUGGGGGCGGGGCGGGGGGGGAGGCGAGGGGCGUGCUCGUCUGACGGUGGCGGCGGACGGGUGAGGAACAGGUGGCGAACCUCCCUAGAGGACUGGGAUAACUGCGGGACACCGGAGCUAAUCCCGGCUAAUAUAUUGGACCGCAUGGUUCAAUAGGGAAAGACGGUUUUGCUGUCACUCACGAGUGGCUCCCCGCCGCACUAGCUAGGUGUUCAGGUAACCGCUUACCAAGGCGACGAUGCGUAGCCGCACUGAGAGGGUGAUCGGCCACACUGGAACUGAGACACGGCCCAGACGCCGAAGGGAGGCAGCAGUAGGGAAUCUUCCGCAAAGGGCGAAAGCCUGACGGAGCAACGCCGCGUGAGUGAUGAAGGUCUCCGGAUCGUAAAACUCUGUUAUUAGGGAAGAACAAAUGUGUAAGUAACUAUGCACGUCUUGACGGUACCUAAUCAGAAAGCCACGGCUAACUACGUG